UCUCUCUCUCUCGUUGACUCCUUUGUUCUCGCUGGUGCUGCUGAACAUGAUUGUUGCACUCACCGGACUUACGAUGCACCAUCUGCUUGCCGUUGUAGCUCCGUCUGGAUUUUGCUGGUUUGCCACACAAGUGUCGGUGCACUGUCUUGUCGCCGGAACAAACCUCGCUUGUUGUGUUGUUCGUCCAUGCUCCAAAUGAGCAGAGGAUGAUUUUGGAGUGAAGAAUCAUUCGGGAUUAUGAAGUUGAUUGUGUUGUUGGACUUGGAUGCGUUCAGGUUCGGUAUCACGAGCUCGAGAAUGGAAGUGAAGCUAGAUUAUGAUGUUGUCGUAGAUUAUGGAUUAAGUUUGUAUUUUAGACAACUGAUUUGAGAAUAGUUAUUUAUAUUUCAUUGUAUAUAAUAUUUGGAAAUAUUAGUCGAGAUAUUGGUGUAA
This is a long non-coding RNA of Beta vulgaris subsp. vulgaris (sugar beet), 432 nucleotides long. RefSeq lists it as uncharacterized. The record is from RefSeq and is a predicted model, not a curated record. The transcript is spliced from 3 exons. Lineage: Eukaryota; Viridiplantae; Streptophyta; Magnoliopsida; Caryophyllales; Amaranthaceae.